CAAUAGCGUAUAUUAAAGUUGUUGCGGUUAAAAAGCUCGUAGUUGGAUUUCUGCCGAGGACGACCGGUCCGCCCUCUGGGUGUGUAUCUGGUUUGGCCUGGGCAUCUUCUUGGAGAACGUAGCUGCACUUGACUGUGUGGUGCGGUGUCCAGGACUUUUACUUUGAGGAAAUUAGAGUGUUUCAAGCAGGCACACGCCUUGAAUACAUUAGCAUGGAAUAAUAAGAUAGGACCUCGGUUCUAUUUUGUUGGUUUCUAGAGCUGAGGUAAUGAUUAAUAGGGAUAGUUGGGGGCAUUCGUAUUUAACUGUCAGAGGUGAAAUUCUUGGAUUUGUUAAAGACGGACUACUGCGAGAGCAUUUGCCAAGGAUGUUUUCAUUGA
Molecule: ribosomal RNA, 380 nt
Filed under: uncultured eukaryote
Lineage: Eukaryota
Description: partial 18S ribosomal RNA
Rfam family: Eukaryotic small subunit ribosomal RNA
Source: RNAcentral